CGGAGAGGAGAGAGGAAGAGGAAGGAACGCGCCUGGCGUCACUGAGGGUGUCACCCGGGACCGCGGCUCAGGUACCCAAGCUUCUCCGCGAGUCCAGCGCUGCCACUCGGCGGCCGCCGCGGGCGCGGGGAUCCUGGGUCGCUCCGCCUUGACCCACGCGCCCCACGCCCCGGGACUUACACCUGGGGUCGCUCCCCGCACGCGCGGGCCUCGCGCCGGUGCCGCCGCAGCGCCCCCUGCAGGCCGGAGCCGAGCUGGCCCAGGCCUGAGUCUGGCCCGGGGUUCCGUGGCCCCAGUGCCGGCCCCGCGGCUGCUGCUCCGGCCCGGCCAGGUGCCUUCGUGUUGAGGCGAAAGGACUGGGCCUCAGUGGGUGAAGGGACCGGGUGGCCCGCUUCCACCUAGGGCAGAGGCUGGAUCGGCCGCGGCGAGGCUGGGCCCAGCAUUACUGGGAGGGGAACUUGAGAGCCGCGGGUUGAUGUUCGGAGCUCAGGCGACGACUGACCACCCACCCUUCCUCGAAGAGGAACAAUGGCUUGGCUGAUGGAAUUUGAGAAAUGGCAGGUGUGAGGACUCUGACCUUCCCAUGAAGCAGGUCAUAAGACCCUCAUGUGAGAGAUGCCCUCUCUAUACCUGGAGAAAAGAAGCAGUCUUAUUUGUGAAGACAGAGAGACGCCAAGAGGAAUCUAAAUGAAUAGGCCUUGGAACCCCAGACGCACGGGCCUUGUGCUGUCGCUGCCGUGGCACCCCUUCUAGAAGGACUCUAUUCUCUAUAACAGAAGUGGGAGCCUUGGACAACUGAACGCCUAUCUCUAGCUCAAGAAAUGUCAGCUCUUUUUUUUUUUUUGAGACUGUCACCCAGUCGGGAGUACAGUGGCGCCAUCUUGGCUCUCUGUAACCUCCACCUCCUGGGUUCAAGCGAUUCUCCUGCCUCAGCCUCCUGAGUAGCUGGGGCUACAGGUAUGCACCAUCACUCCUGGCUAAUUGUUGUAUUUUUAGUAGAUAAUGGGGUUUCACCAUGUUGGCCAGGGUGGUCUCAAACUCCUGACCUCAGGUGAUCUGCCUGCCUCGGCCUCCCAAAGUGCUGGGAUUACAGACGUGAGCCACCAUGCCCAGCCAAGAAAUGUCAAUUCUUUAUCGUAGCCUGGCUUUCCAUAUUUCUCACUAGGGUUUUUAUUCUCUAGUUUGUAAAUCACAUUUGGCGUUUGUAGAUCACUCCUUCCCUUUUAGUGGCAUUCUCUAUUAGGUGUCCAUCUCCCAAUAUGAAGAAACAGUUUUCUGCUUUUUCCUCCUUUAUCUGAUCCAUUUACAGAUUUAUUACAUUUAUAAUAGGCUAGGUAUUGGGGAUACAAAAAUGAAUAAGAUAUGGUCUGUUUUCAAAGGUAUGCAGAAACUUUUCUAUAUAUUCCUACUGACUUGUAUUUGUAUUUCUUGAAUUAAAAACAAUCCUGGCUGUGUUUUUUUUUUUUUUUUUUUGCUCUUAGUGAAUCUUUGUUUCUUCUUUUCAUUAUGGCAUUCCAGUUGAGUUUCACCACGCAUUAUCAUGAGAAUAAAUAAUUUCACUGACUUUAAUAAUAUUUGAUCACUUAUGUUGAUGUCAUUUAACUCUCAUUUACAUUUCAGUGGUCUAAAACACAACUAAGAUACUAAAAGAAAAAUAAAAGAUGAGAUUAUUGGCAAAUAAUUACCAC
RNAcentral lists this long non-coding RNA (1688 nucleotides) under Homo sapiens (human). RNAcentral describes it as "HSALNT0076087". Lineage: Eukaryota; Metazoa; Chordata; Mammalia; Primates; Hominidae. The record is from RNAcentral.